Molecule: non-coding RNA, 3034 nt
Organism: Chlorocebus sabaeus (green monkey)
Lineage: Eukaryota; Metazoa; Chordata; Mammalia; Primates; Cercopithecidae
Source: RefSeq, a predicted model, not a curated record
ACUCAGGAGGUUGGGCAGGAGGAUCACUCAAGCCUAGGAGCUUGAGGCUGCAGUGAGCUGUGAUCACGCCACUGCACUCCAGCCUGGGCAACAGCGUGGGACUUGGUCACAAACAAACAUCCAGCACGCCUUCUUUGUGCCCCACAUGGCCUUCAGGCUGAGAGGAAUACAAUGCUGAUCAUCUGGAAUUUAUAAUCUAAUUGGAAUGAGAAGACAGAAAAAUUAAAUAAACUUACAGGAAGUAGGUGAUUGAAUGUCAGUCUGAAUGGUAAUGACAAUAAGUACUGUAUCUCAGAUAAGAGAUGUGUACAAAAUAAGCUUCCUAAAAGAUGUGAAAUGAGAAAGACUUUUUGGAUUUUCUCUGUAGGCUUCAAUUCCCUGUGGUGGGUUUUUAGUUUCAUAUUUUUGACAAGAUCCAAAUCAGAAGCAAGUUCCCUUGGUAGUCAACUUUUUGUUUUCACAAUCUACCUUUUUUAGAACAUUGCUUAGAAAGUUAUAUAUUGAGGGGUGAGCUGACAUUAUUUCACUAGAUGUCCAAAUUUUAAAAUAUGUAGGUUAUAGUUUUAAAAAUUUGGAUUGAAUUUUGUUUAUCCCUAUUUCUUCUGUUAUAGUAGAAGGUUGUGCGAGCUCAUAGAGAAAUCUUGGCUGUUGGUCUAGAAGGUUGUUAGUGAGUGACAGGGCUGAGAGCCACAGAGCCUUUGGGGAAUGGCUAAUUAUUUUAACCCGGGGGCUCUCAUGAGCUUAUUGACAAGUAGUCAGACACUCUGGCCUUCCCUAGGCAUUUCCAGUUGCCCUUUCUAGUUUAUCUUACCUCUGCUCGGGAGUGGUAGCAACUAGAGGUGUCUCAGUCAUUCUGAAUAAUUAAUGAUUGACUUUUCCCACCCAUUACAGUGCCUAUCCCACACAGAUGACAGUCACAUGUGACAAUUCUAGAGUGGAAGAGAAAGAAAUGAAAUGUGGUGAACAGUUGCACCUAUCUAAUAUGCUAGGUUUUUUGUGCUUGUAAGGGUGUGUCUAAAUGGAAACAUUAUUUGCCACAUGUGUCUUGGUGGCCAAAAGGUACAAAACAAUUGCUCUAGCGUAAGGAUGGAGGUAUUUCUCUCUCCGUAUACUUACUGGGAAAGAAAGUUCCCCUCCAUUUUUUUUUGUCUGGGUUUAAAUCUACUUUUUGGUGGCUGGUCAAAAUUGCUUUCCUUUCAGCCACUUGAAUGCUGGUUCAAUUAGGCCCUUUCUCCUCAGGGCACCUAACUCUUGUAAAAAAUCACCUAAGUUGCCCUUGAUGUUUAACGAUGCCAUCCACUUUUAAUGACUUCUUGCUGUUUUUUUUUUUUUUUGCUCCUGAAAUUCUCUGACUUUCUUUACAUAUUUGCCUCUUUGCUUUCAUUCACAGUGGCUUUUUAUUUUGAUUCCUCCUCUGAGCGUCCACUUCUGGUCCACUGUAUCAAAUCUACCAACUAAUUACGUUUCAAUCCCUACAAUGUUAGGUACCUUGGCCUUUUUCAAAUUACUUUUGAUUUGGGGAAAGAAUUGUAAAAAAUGUUUCCACUGCAAUUAUUUAAUGAUUCAACCUUCAUAGAAACUUAAACUUCAGAGGAGCAAAUAGCCUCAACAGAGGACUAAUUAAGCUUCAUGUUACCCUGGCGAAGUAGGGAGAAUAAGUACGCAGUGAGGCUGCAAUCAUUUCCUCCGAAGUUCGAUUAAAAGCCAAGUUUUAAAAUGUUAGACCAGUGCUAAUCUGCAUGAGUGCUUCGGGUUUCAUUUGGGAAAGAAUUGUGGUUGCAAACAUUAACACUAAAAUAUGUGAAUCUAUUUCCAUAAUCAGGGUCCUGUGGGAUGGAGCCUAGAUUUAAUAUGGCUUUGGCGCUUACGUGUUUUCCAGUACAUUGAUUAAUACUGUCCUCUCAUGUGGAACCCAAUCAGGGGCAACCUGCCAGAGGACUAUUUUCUAUAAAUUUAAGCUGAACUAAUAUCUGUGGAAAUCUUAAGACUAAAGAAGAGUUGAUGAAUAUACUACAAUUAAAGUUGCCUUGUGAAUUGAAGAAUGAAGCAAAGGAUAAUGAACAUAUUGAAAUGAUUCCACAUGUUUUAUGCAUGACACAUUUGUAAUUAAAACAGAUCCUGAAGCUACUCCCACUAAGUGCUCGGCACUGGGCUAGGACAUGCUGCUCACUAUUGCGAGUGAUUGUAGCAACUGAGUUUUGAAUAUUUAUAUAUGUUGAGGUGAAGAAGCUUCCUUGACUACAUCUGAGGAGUUGUGGAAUCAUCAGAAGGAAGUCUUUCUAACAACACACUACAGCUUUGGAACGUACAGUUUCCCUGCCAUAAAUCUUCACCAUCUCUGCCAUUCUCCUUCUAUUGUGUCAACCCUUGCUCCUCAUUUUACAGGUAAUUGCCCCUUCAAUUUUACAAGAUUGUUAAUUUUACAAGAUUAAUUGUCCCUUCCUUCUAGAAGCUUCCAUGACCUCUCAAGAAUGGGUUAAGGGCUUCCUUAAGCACUACCAGAACAGCUCAGACUUCCCCAUCAUGACACUCACUGCUCUGCAUUGUAUUCUAACUGUCUGCUUACUUGUCUCUUUCCCUUACUGGACUAUAAAUUCCCAGGGCUAGACUCCAUUUCUCUUUUGUGUAUUAUUUUUUCUCCAGGUACCAACUAGGCUUCAAGAAAUAUUUGUUGAAUAAAAAAGUGCGAAUACACUUAUUUAAGUUAUAGUUACUCUAAAUACUCUGAUAUAAUUUUGGUGAAAAAAGAAACCAUGGCUUAAGUUAUAGAUAUAAUAGUUUUUUAAAAGUUUAUAUCAAUAUAUUUUUAAUGAGGAUGUUAUGCACUCUAAUCUCCUGCAAUGAAUUAUUUGCUAAUGUAUUAGCAGGUACAUUGUAAAAAAUCAAACUAAUAUCAAUACUGUUUGUAAAAUUUAUAGGUAUGAUUUACUAAUGUAUUGAUAGUCUAUUGUAGUCAGUAGUUUCUAGAGUAUACUCUUGCUGUGCUAGCUAUUUACAGUGUAUUAUGUUUUUAUAAUAAAAUAUCAAAAUAUUA